AGAUCCAAAUAUGUCUCCUGUGAGGCAUUCCGAGUGGACCCUCACAAGAAUAUCUUGCCCAUCUCCAAUCUCACCCUGUUUACACCAUGGAAAAGAAUCAUGCCAUAAUCUUCAGGGAAGGAUCUUAAUCCAAGAAACAUAAAGUCUAAAGGAAUAUACAGAAUGGUGCAACCUUUGAUAUUUAUGGAAAAAGAAUAGAAGUGUGCUCAUAACAAAUUGAAAUAUUUCUGACUUGAUGCAGAAUAGGAAAAGUAUUUAUAUAGGAUUUAUAUAGAUAUUAAGGUAAAUCAGGUAUAUAGGAAAGUAAAACUAACUAUAAGUAUGUGGGUACAUUCUUACCUUUACCAUUGCUAUAUGCUCAAUCCCAUCUAAUAUUGACCUGUAACAAUAGGCCGUGAAUGGCCCCCACAUAGUAGGUAUCCGUGCAGCACCAGCACGAUCAAUUAAUUUAUCUCUCUUUCUCCUAUACCUGUAAAUCAUAAGCAGUAUUAGAAGUUGUUCUUUACUUUAUCAUUCUCAAGGAGACUCCAUAUACAAUUGAUAAUAGUUUUGUCAAGAAUUAAGUUUGGGCAACCUAACCAUAGAAUCCAUGAAAAAUAAGUAGAAAGCAAAGCUCUGCAUAUAAUACUCAUUAAUUUACCUGAUUAAAUCAGCAAUGGAUAUAAUUUUCAAGUUCUCCCGCUCAGCAAAUUGAUGAAGCUUUGGUAAUCUAGCCAUGGAUCCAUCAUCAUCUACAACCUCACAGAGAACUGCAAUAGGGUCCAAUCCAGCUAGCAUUGCAAGAUCAACAGAAGCUUCAGUAUGCCCAGCUCUUUUCAGAACACCACCUUCCCUGUAUUUCAGUGGGAAAAUAUGACCUGGGCGGUUGAAAUCCUC
This 876-nucleotide long non-coding RNA is filed under the name Durio zibethinus. RNAcentral describes it as "long non-coding RNA (DZIB_LNC000729)". The record is from RNAcentral. Lineage: Eukaryota; Viridiplantae; Streptophyta; Magnoliopsida; Malvales; Malvaceae.